CCUACGGGAGGCAGCAGUGGGGAAUAUUGGACAAUGGGGGGAACCCUGAUCCAGCGACGCCGCGUGAGUGAAGAAGUAUUUCGGUAUGUAAAGCUCUAUCAGCAGAGAAGAAAAUGACGGUACCUGACUAAGAAGCCCCGGCUAACUACGUGCCAGCAGCCGCGGGAAUACGUAGGGGGCAAGCGUUAUCCGGAUUUACUGGGUGGAAAGGGAGCGUAGACGGUGCAGCUAGUCUGAUGUGAAAGGUCGGGGCCCAAACCCGGGAACGCAUUGGAAACUGUUGAACUGGAGUACAGGAGAGGUAAGCGGAAUUCCAAGUGUAGCGGUGAAAUGCGUAGAUAUUAGGAGGAACACCAGUGGCGAAGGCGGCUUACUGGACUGUAACUGACGUUGAGGCUCGAAAGCGUGGGGAGCAAACAGGAUUAGAUACCCCUGUAGUC
This 440-nucleotide ribosomal RNA is filed under the name uncultured bacterium. Its description in RNAcentral is "partial 16S ribosomal RNA". It matches the Rfam family "Bacterial small subunit ribosomal RNA", at positions 338 to 795 of the family's 1533-position model. The record is from RNAcentral.